UAAAUAUUCUAAAAUAUUUUAUGUAUUGUCUUUUAUCUUGCUAAUUAGAGGUAAUAAAUACAUGUAUUUUUGUUGUUCAGGUAUUAGACGUUAAAGUUUAAAUUUUUAGUUUAUUUUUCAGUCAAAUUUUACCUAAGAUCUAUUACCGUAAUUAACUAGCAAAUUAAAGUAACGUUAAAUAUGAAAAUAAGUAUCCAUAUAAGUAUAAACAUGAAGCUAGGGACUAAUAUAAAAAACUCGUGAUCCUACAUCACGCAGUUGAAGUUUUCAAGCUACUCUCGCUUAUAUAG
RNAcentral lists this unclassified non-coding RNA (290 nucleotides) under Melitaea cinxia (Glanville fritillary). RNAcentral describes it as "misc RNA ENSMCXG00005012771.1". Lineage: Eukaryota; Metazoa; Arthropoda; Insecta; Lepidoptera; Nymphalidae. The record is from RNAcentral.